This 684-nucleotide ribosomal RNA is filed under the name uncultured bacterium. RNAcentral's name for it is "bacterial SSU rRNA". It matches the Rfam family "Bacterial small subunit ribosomal RNA", at positions 102 to 807 of the family's 1533-position model. The record is from RNAcentral.
ACGGGUGAGUAACACGUGAGCAACCUACCUUACACAGGGGGAUAGCCGUUGGAGACGACGAUUAAUACCGCAUAAGACCACAAUAUCGCAUGGUAUAAGGGUCAAAGAUUUAUCGGUGUAAGAUGGGCUCGCGUCUGAUUAGCUAGUUGGAAGGGUAAAGGCCUACCAAGGCGACGAUCAGUAGCCGGUCUGAGAGGAUGAACGGCCACACUGGAACUGAGACACGGUCCAGACUCCUACGGGAGGCAGCAGUGGGGAAUAUUGCACAAUGGGGGAAACCCUGAUGCAGCGACGCCGCGUGAGCGAAGAAGGUUUUCGAAUCGUAAAGCUCUGUCCUAUGAGAAGAUAAUGACGGUAUCAUAGGAGGAAGCCCCGGCUAAAUACGUGCCAGCAGCCGCGGUAAUACGUAUGGGGCGAGCGUUGUCCGGAAUUAUUGGGCGUAAAGGGUACGUAGGCGGCCUUUUAAGUCAGGUGUGAAAGCGUGAGGCUUAACCUCAUUAAGCACUUGAAACUGGAAGGCUUGAGUGAAGGAGAGGAAAGUGGAAUUCCUAGUGUAGCGGUGAAAUGCGUAGAUAUUAGGAGGAAUACCGGUGGCGAAGCGACUUUCUGGACUUUUACUGACGCUCAGUACGAAAGCGUGGGGAGCAAACAGGAUUAGAUACUCCUGUAGUCCACGCCGUAAAC